CACGGAGUUAGCCGAUGCUUAUUCGUAGGGUACAUUCACUACAGCACACGUGCUGUUCUUUAUCCCCCUACAAAAGAAGUUUACAAUCCAUAAGACAGUCAUCCUUCACGCGACUUGGCUGGUUCAGGCUCGCGCCCAUUGACCAAUAUUCCUCACUGCUGCCUCCCGUAGGAGUCUGGUCCGUGUCUCAGUACCAGUGUGGGGGUUCAACCUCUCAGUUCCCCUACCCAUCGUCGCCUUGGUGAGCCGUUACCUCACCAACUAGCUAAUGGGACGCAUGCCUAUCUCACAGCGAAAUUCAUUUCCUCUAGCCUGGAUGCCCAGACUGGAGUGUACGCGGUAUUAGUCCGUCUUUCGACGGGUUAUCCCCCUCUGUGAGGCAAGUUGCAUACGCGUUACGCACCCGUGCGCGGUCGCAUCAGUCUUAGCAGCUAGACCAUGCUGCCCCUGACUUGCAUGUGUUAAGCCUAUCGCUAGCGUUCA
RNAcentral lists this ribosomal RNA (483 nucleotides) under uncultured Porphyromonas sp. Its description in RNAcentral is "partial 16S ribosomal RNA". Lineage: Bacteria; Pseudomonadati; Bacteroidota; Bacteroidia; Bacteroidales; Porphyromonadaceae. The record is from RNAcentral.